This 428-nucleotide ribosomal RNA is filed under the name uncultured bacterium. RNAcentral describes it as "bacterial SSU rRNA". It matches the Rfam family "Bacterial small subunit ribosomal RNA", at positions 355 to 776 of the family's 1533-position model. The record is from RNAcentral.
UGAGGAAUAUUGCGCAAUGGGCGAAAGCCUGACGCAGCGACGCCGCGUGGAGGAUGAAGGUCUUUGGAUUGUAAACUCCUUUUAAGCGGGAAGAAAAGCUUAUCUCUAAUACAGAUAAGUCUGACGGUACCGCUAGAAUAAGCACCGGCUAACUUCGUGCCAGCAGCCGCGGUAAUACGAGGGGUGCAAGCGUUAUUCGGAAUAAUUGGGCGUAAAGGGUGCGUAGACGGUAGACUAAGUCCGUUGUUAAAUUCUUCGGCCUAACCGGAGAUCAGCGAUGGAAACUAGUCUGCUAGAGGGUGAGAGAGAGAAGUGGAAUUCUCGGAGUAGCGGUAAAAUGCGUAGAUCUCGAGAGGAACACCAAUGGCGAAGGCAGCUUCUUGGCUCACUCCUGACGUUGAGGCACGAAAGCGUGGGGAGCAAACAGG